Long non-coding RNA from Lates calcarifer (barramundi perch), 1187 nucleotides. RefSeq lists it as uncharacterized. The record is from RefSeq and is a predicted model, not a curated record. NCBI's taxonomy places the organism in Eukaryota, Metazoa, Chordata, Actinopteri, Centropomidae. The transcript has 6 exons.
ACCAGCCCAUUAUCCCAGAUGAUCAACAGAUGAUUCCCCAUACCAUUCACCUCUGCUUCCUGUUCAGCAGCACAGCGGAUAUCAAAACCACACAUGUUCCUUCAGUGCUCUAGAUUCCCUGUCUGGGAAUGGCCCCCUGAGGGUCAAACCUUGGCUUCUUCCUCCUCUUCCUGCUAUUUGCAGGUCAAAGGCGACGGCCUGCUGGAGAGGCGUUUCCCACUACAGCUCUACUGGAUUCACACUCAAACCUCCAUUAGGGAAGACAACUUUUGUUGUGCCUCAGAAAACACCAAGGGUCACGUCUGGUCUCUCUCCUGAGCCCCAGUGGAGGCUGCGUGGGCUUACUCCAAGACAUCUGGCAUGAUAGAGUUUACUCGUUCAGCUGCUGCAGCCUGGACAGAAACACCAGCUCUUACCUUACAAACCAGGUGUCACCACUUCGUCCAUGAUCACAGAGACGUCGUCCAUGAUCGCAGUCUUCAUACAAAGAAGUUCUUUGAAACCAGGACUGGGGCCUCAAGGAUUCAAACUUCAACCAUUAAAUGACAGAAGAGACAGACGGGAGACAUUUUGAGAAGGUCCUCAGCUGCUGUCGUCUUCUCCUGCAGAGACAAGAACACGUGUUAAUCACAGAAACUGAUCAGUAAAGCUAUUUUUCCUUGUUGAUACGUAAUUACAGUGAUGUAUACUAAACUUUUACAACUCAUUUAGUAUCACAUAUUCAGUGUGUUUUUCUAAUUAUUACAGUCACAGUUACGACUAGAAAUUUUUGUAAAACUCUGAUAUAUAAUAAUUAUUUUUUAUGCCCUGCUAUUCUAAGACAGUUUCAUGCCUAAGACAAUUUUUACAGUUCUUGACGCCUUACUGUAAUACUACUCACUUAACAUACUAUGAUGAUUUUUGAGUGUUUGUGGUUUAAGUUAGAUUUUGUGUUUGUCAUUUAAUUUUGGUAUUUUGCAAUUUCAAAGCGUGGAAUAUAUUUACUCAAAUCCAAUCUAUUACUGUAUACAUAGUCCUGUGUAUAGUGUUCAUAUUGUUUAUAAUUUUUAUAUAUUGUUAUAUAUUAUGUUGUUUUAUAUCUUGCCUUGUUUAUAUCAUGCUUUUUUAUAUUUUUGCUGCUGUGACACUGAAUUUCCCCACUGUGGGAUUAACAAAAUAUUAUUAUACUCUGACUCAAAUAAAUACUU